CCCGCACAAGCAGCGGAGCGUGUGGUUUAAUUCGAAGCAACGCGAAGAACCUUACCAGGUCUUGACAUCCCUGACAACCCGAGAGAUCGGGCGUUCCCCUUCGGGGGACAGGGUGACAGGUGGUGCAUGGUUGUCGUCAGCUCGUGUCGUGAGAUGUUGGGUUAAGUCCCGCAACGAGCGCAACCCUCGACCUUAGUUGCCAGCAUUCAGUUGGGCACUCUAAGGUGACUGCCGGCUAAAAGUCGGAGGAAGGUGGGGAUGACGUCAAAUCAUCAUGCCCCUUAUGACCUGGGCUACACACGUGCUACAAUGGGCGGUACAAAGGGUCGCGAACCCGCGAGGGGGAGCCAAUCCCAAAAAGCCGCUCUCAGUUCGGAUUGCAGGCUGCAACUCGCCUGCAUGAAGCCGGAAUCGCUAGUAAUCGCGGAUCAGCAUGCCGCGGUGAAUACGUUCCCGGGCCUU
RNAcentral lists this ribosomal RNA (462 nucleotides) under uncultured Anoxybacillus sp. Its description in RNAcentral is "bacterial SSU rRNA". It matches the Rfam family "Bacterial small subunit ribosomal RNA", at positions 920 to 1382 of the family's 1533-position model. The record is from RNAcentral. Lineage: Bacteria; Bacillati; Bacillota; Bacilli; Caryophanales; Anoxybacillaceae.